GACGAACGCUGGCGGCGUGCUUAACACAUGCAAGUCGAACGGAUCUUCUCUGGACAGUAAUGUUUGGGGUUGGUUAGUGGCGAACGGGUGAGUAACACGUGAGAAACCUGCCCUGAAGACGGGGAUAACUGACCGAAAGGUCUGCUAAUACCCGAUGUCCUCGCGUGAACGCAUGGUUGUGUGAGGAAAUGGAUUCCGCUUUAGGAGGGUCUCGCGGGCUAUCAGCUUGUUGGUGAGGUAAUGGCUCACCAAGGCGACGACGGCUAGCUGGUCUGAGAGGACGACCAGCCACACUGGGACUGAGACACGGCCCAGACUCCUACGGGAGGCAGCAGUGGGGAAUCUUGCGCAAUGGGCGGAAGCCUGACGCAGCAACGCCGCGUGUGGGAUGACGGCUUUCGGGUUGUAAACCACUUUCAGCAGGAACGAAAUUGACGGUACCUGCAGAAGAAGCACCGGCCAACUACGUGCCAGCCGCCGCGGUAA
This 486-nucleotide ribosomal RNA is filed under the name uncultured bacterium. Its description in RNAcentral is "partial 16S ribosomal RNA". It matches the Rfam family "Bacterial small subunit ribosomal RNA", at positions 28 to 523 of the family's 1533-position model. The record is from RNAcentral.